CCUACGGGAGGCAGCAGUGAGGAAUAUUGGUCAAUGGACGAGAGUCUGAACCAGCCAAGUAGCGUGAAGGAUGACUGCCCUAUGGGUUGUAAACUUCUUUUAUAUGGGAAUAAAACGUUCCACGUGUGGGCUUUUGUAUGUACCAUAUGAAUAAGGAUCGGCUAACUCCGUGCCAGCAGCCGCGGUAAUACGGAGGAUCCGAGCGUUAUCCGGAUUUAUUGGGUUUAAAGGGAGCGUAGAUGGGUUGUUAAGUCAGUUGUGAAAGUUUGCGGCUCAACCGUAAAAUUGCAAUUGAUACUGGCAGUCUUGAGUACAGUUGAGGUAGGCGGAAUUCGUGGUGUAGCGGUGAAAUGCUUAGAUAUCACGAAGAACCCCGAUUGCGAAGGCAGCUUACUAAACUGUGACUGACAUUGAUGCUCGAAAGUGUGGGUAUCAAACAGGAUUAGAUACCCUUGUAGUC
Molecule: ribosomal RNA, 460 nt
Filed under: uncultured bacterium
Lineage: Bacteria
Description: partial 16S ribosomal RNA
Rfam family: Bacterial small subunit ribosomal RNA
Source: RNAcentral